GCCUUCUUAGCUCAGUGGUAGAGCGUUCCACUCGUAGGCAGGAGCUCUUGAUGGAAAGGUCAGUCGUUCAAUCCGGCUAGGAGGCA
The sequence is a transfer RNA, 86 nucleotides long. It matches the Rfam family "tRNA". Rfam says of the family: Transfer RNA (tRNA) molecules are approximately 80 nucleotides in length. Their secondary structure includes four short double-helical elements and three loops (D, anti-codon, and T loops). The record is from Rfam.